GACGAACGCUGGCGGCGUGCUUAACGCAUGCAAGUCGAACGGAAGGGCCCUGCUUUUGUGGGGUGCUCGAGUGGCGAACGGGUGAGUAACACGUGAGUAACCUGCCCUUGACUUUGGGAUAACUUCAGGAAACUGGGGCUAAUACCGGAUAGGAGCUCCUGCUGCAUGGUGGGGGUUGGAAAGUUUCGGCGGUUGGGGAUGGACUCGCGGCUUAUCAGCUUGUUGGUGGGGUAGUGGCUUACCAAGGCUUUGACGGGUAGCCGGCCUGAGAGGGUGACCGGCCACAUUGGGACUGAGAUACGGCCCAGACUCCUACGGGAGGCAGCAGUGGGGAAUAUUGCACAAUGGGCGGAAGCCUGAUGCAGCAACGCCGCGUGCGGGAUGACGGCCUUCGGGUUGUAAACCGCUUUCGCCUGUGACGAAGCGUGAGUGACGGUAAUGGGUAAAGAAGCACCGGCUAACUACGUG
This 468-nucleotide ribosomal RNA is filed under the name uncultured bacterium. Its description in RNAcentral is "partial 16S ribosomal RNA". It matches the Rfam family "Bacterial small subunit ribosomal RNA", at positions 28 to 507 of the family's 1533-position model. The record is from RNAcentral.